UACGUAGGGUGCAAGCGUUGUCCGGAAUUAUUGGGCGUAAAGAGCUCGUAGGCGGUCUGUUGCGUCGGCUGUGAAAACCCGGGGCUCAACCCCGGGCCUGCAGCCGAUACGGGCAGACUAGAGUUCGGCAGGGGAGACUGGAAUUCCUGGUGUAGCGGUGAAAUGCGCAGAUAUCAGGAGGAACACCGAUGGCGAAGGCAGAUCUCUGGGCCGUAACUGACGCUGAGGAGCGAAAGCGUGGGGAGCGAACAGG
Molecule: ribosomal RNA, 253 nt
Filed under: uncultured bacterium
Lineage: Bacteria
Description: partial 16S ribosomal RNA
Rfam family: Bacterial small subunit ribosomal RNA
Source: RNAcentral